This 265-nucleotide ribosomal RNA is filed under the name uncultured Atopobium sp. Its description in RNAcentral is "partial 16S ribosomal RNA". It matches the Rfam family "Bacterial small subunit ribosomal RNA", at positions 90 to 354 of the family's 1533-position model. The record is from RNAcentral. Lineage: Bacteria; Bacillati; Actinomycetota; Coriobacteriia; Coriobacteriales; Atopobiaceae.
AUAAAGUGGCGAACGGCUGAGUAACACGUGGGCAACCUGCCCUUUGCACUGGGAUAGCCUCGGAAACCGAGGUUAAUACCGGAUACUCCAUAUUUGUCGCAUGGCGAAUAUGGGAAAGCUCCGGCGGCAAAGGAUGGGCCCGCGGCCUGUUAGCUAGUUGGUGGGGUAGUGGCCUACCAAGGCAAUGAUGGGUAGCCGGGUUGAGAGACCGACCGGCCAGAUUGGGACUGAGACACGGCCCAGACUCCUACGGGAGGCAGCAGGG